Molecule: unclassified non-coding RNA, 257 nt
Filed under: Glomus sp.
Lineage: Eukaryota; Fungi; Glomeromycota; Glomeromycetes; Glomerales; Glomeraceae
Description: partial internal transcribed spacer 2
Source: RNAcentral
GUGAAUCAUCAAAUCUUUGAACGCAAAUUGCACUCUCCUCUGAUAGGAUGCCUAUUUGAGUUUCAGCCUAUAAAAAAUCGACAUCGUUGCUGUUUCGCGGUGUCGGUCGUCGGAAAUUGGGUCAUCUUAAAUCUUUUGUUUUUAAGCUACUUAAAAUUUUCUUUUUGUUUCCAUGAACGUUUCUAAGAUUUAUUUCUUUACACGUUUAUGGUAUCUAUUUGUAUUAGACAUGACCAUCAUAGCGGAUCGCGCCUAUA